RNAcentral lists this ribosomal RNA (327 nucleotides) under uncultured eukaryote. RNAcentral's name for it is "partial 18S ribosomal RNA". It matches the Rfam family "Eukaryotic small subunit ribosomal RNA", at positions 1470 to 1796 of the family's 1831-position model. The record is from RNAcentral.
CCCUUAGAUGUUCUGGGCCGCACGCGUGCUACACUGGUGAAUACAGCGAGUGUCCAUUCCCUUGACCGAAAGGUCUGGGUAAUCUUAUGAAAGUUCAUCGUGACAGGGAUUGAUCAUUGCAAUUAUUGAUCAUGAACGAGGAAUUCCUAGUAAACGCAAGUCAUCAGCUUGCAUUGAUUACGUCCCUGCCCUUUGUACACACCGCCCGUCGCACCUACCGAUUGAAUGGUCCGGUGAAAUCUCCGGACUGGCGUGAGUCGGAGCAAUCUGACAAACACCGGAAAGUUGAUUAAACCUUACCAUUUAGAGGAAGGUGAAGUCGUAACA